CAAGAGAACUACGUUACAUCAUGCCUCUAACUCUGUUCGAAUCGAUAAAUAAAAAAAAUAAUAAAUUUUCCACUCGCUAAUGGAAAAGUACAAAAAAAAAAAAAAAAUCGUUCGGCAAACCUUCGAACAAUCUCAAAUGAAGAAACUUUUCUCAAGAUUUUUCACACAAGUUAUGUACUACGGGUGAUGUAUCGUCGUCCGAUCGAUUCACGAAGGAACAGGCCACUACUACGUCGCGGCUGAUCGUUUGCUUCUGAAAAGCAUCGAAAUGAUCGGAAUUAAUCGUAGAGACGUCAAGACGUUGUAAUUAUAUAACGUGUUUGUUGCAACGUAUAUAUGGAUCAAAAGAGGAGCGUAGGUGAAACGUAGUUGGCACGAAAAACAACACUCACCCUCCCGGAUACGAUAAACGUAGUUGCGGCUUCCACUUAGAACGUAAAAAGAUCAAAUUUUAAUAUGCCCAGAGUAUUUACAGCAGCUCGAUCGUAGAACGAGAAUUUUUAUUUUCUUUGUCGAUUUCUUCUUUCUUCUUUAAUCACGAUGACGUAGAUAAACUCGAACCAAUGUCGUACGAAAGAAAGAACAGCGACUUUGUAUCUUUUCAAAAAAAGAUGUACGUCUCUCUCUGCUCUUCCUUCACGGAAUGCGAGUAGUCACAGAUGAAAUCCUAGACUCGUCUCAUACCACGUCACAGGAUGGCGCUACGCACGCUCUCAACCUGUUUAUGGAAGUUCUACGUCAUCGGCGACCAAUCAAUACACAUCUGAUCACAUCAUUCGCCAAUCAGAACGUAUACGCACUACCCUGCGGGGGAAAUUGACACGUCAUUCUCGGAAUACGAGGAUAUGAGAUACCAAGUCAAUAAAUUGUUUUUCUCUUUCCUUCUUAUGCAGCAACACGCCCCGACUCUUGUAUGUAACAAUUUUGAUUUCUUUUCUUGCUUUCUCUAUUAUUCUUCUUUUUUUCUUCCGUUAUAUUACCCUUUCUCUCUCUCUUUCUCCCUACCUCUCCCUUCCUCUCCCUCUCCCUCCUACUCAGUCUAUCUUCUUCUUCCUCUCUCUUUCUCUUUCUCUCUCUCCCCCUCUCUCUCUCUCUCUCUCUCUCACCAUUUCUGUUUAUCUCUCAUAGCCCUCUACAUUCCACCAACGUUUUAAAACGUUUCAUCCUAUCUUUUGAAGUAGAAUUUUUCUUAUAGGACUUAGUUGUUUAAAAUCUCAAACUUAUUCGAUUUCAUAUUAUAAUACUUGAGGCUUUUCAAUGCGCAUAAACGUAAAGAUUAAUUUUCUUGUUGUUCUUUCGAUCAACGUACUGCGUAUGUAAAUGAAAUAGAGGUUAGAAUAAUACGUUUAAGGAAAAGCAGAUGUAUUUUUAAAGGGAACUACUUUUAUCCUGCUAUUUGUUCGCUAUUGUUUAGAGUUCGUAAUUAUAUAUACAUACAUAUAUUUGAGAUCACAGAUAUAUAAUAUUGUAAAAGUACUACGUAGUUCAACUUUACAGCAAAAUAACAAAUGAAAAUCUACAAAAUGAUUUCUUUUUGGUAAAAUUAAAAAUAAAUGUUAACUAACAUUGAAUUAUGAUAUUCAUCGAUCGAUUAAAAUUAUUUUAAAAUGUAUUUUAAAAGAUGUAACAUACUUUUUCGUAAAAAAUAAUACUCUUUCGUAAUCGAAUAUGAAGAUGUUAGUUUAUUGAGGAUUAUUAAAGAUGAGUAAAAAGAAUUGUAUAAACUAUGAAGAUCGACUAAAGUUUCUUCUUGCUAUUAUGACUGAAAAUUAUGACGAUGCAAUUGAAGUUGGAUCUUUAGUUUUAAAACAGAACCCAAAUGAUCUAAGCAUUCUGAAAAUAUUAUCUGCCAUUAAAGAUAAAAUUGGUACGUAUUAUAUAAGCAAUAAACAGUCUGGCGGAAUCUGUCGCCAGUGAUUCAGAUGAAAACAUCCAUGAUGCAGAGAAUAUGCAAAUAAAUUGCGACACGAGCGAUCUUGAUUCCGUUAUGGAUGAUGAAGAGGAGGAUAACGAUUUCGUCUCUAUAGAUACGAACAAGUUUUGUCAAAGUACAACACCAGUACAAAAUUUGUCGGAUUGUAUCAAGAAAUGUCUUCUAUCUGGUACCGGUAAAGAGAAGAAACAAGAGAGUUUUGUCUUCAAAGAAAAAAUGUAUCGGGUAAUACCUAUGAAAAUGAACGGAAAAUUAUUCUAAAUAUCAAAGUACUAUUUUUGGCUCUUUCCUCAUACUACUUAGGAAAUUUACCGUAACAUCGAUACUCACCUUUGUACCACGACGUUGUAUAAUAAUCUUCCUAGACACAUGUGCGUUAUCAUAAUUGACUAUCUUUAAUGAAAUAUAUUUUAUUAAUAAAAAAAAAAAAAAAAGGGAAAACAAUUAUCUGUUAAAGAGUUUUAACAAGGUAAAAAUAAAAAGUGGCGUCAUAGACAUCGUUCAAUGUACAUUACGGUUCAUUCUUUUUUUUUUCAUUUCUAUUUUUUUUUUCUUUUUUUUUUUUUUCUUAUAGAUAAUAUUUACGAAUUUCACGAUCGAACCAGACGAAAUUAUAAGAAUGAAGUCUAUUUACUAUAUAUUUAUGUAUAUGUAUUUGUGUGUUAUGUAUGUACAUAUAUAUCUUUUAUUGAUGUAAAGAACUUCGUGCGCAAUUAUUGGACAUCGUUCCAUUCAAUUGCGUGACUUCGCUGCUCGUUCUCCAUCAACUUGAAAAUUUUGUUUUGUUCUUCUC
This is an RNA transcript of Vespa velutina, 2726 nucleotides long. RefSeq lists it as uncharacterized. Lineage: Eukaryota; Metazoa; Arthropoda; Insecta; Hymenoptera; Vespidae. The record is from RefSeq and is a predicted model, not a curated record. The transcript is spliced from 4 exons.